UGGAAGCGUCUGGAAAGGCGCGCGAUACAGGGUGACAGCCCCGUACACAAAAAUGCACAUGCUGUGAGCUCGAUGAGUAGGGCGGGACACGUGGUAUCCUGUCUGAAUAUGGGGGGACCAUCCUCCAAGGCUAAAUACUCCUGACUGACCGAUAGUGAACCAGUACCGUGAGGGAAAGGCGAAAAGAACCCCGGCGAGGGGAGUGAAAAAGAACCUGAAACCGUGUACGUACAAGCAGUGGGAGCACGCUUAGGCGUGUGACUGCGUACCUUUUGUAUAAUGGGUCAGCGACUUAUAUUCUGUAGCAAGGUUAACCGAAUAGGGGAGCCGAAGGGAAACCGAGUCUUAACUGGGCGUUAAGUUGCAGGGUAUAGACCCGAAACCCGGUGAUCUAGCCAUGGGCAGGUUGAAGGUUGGGUAACACUAACUGGAGGACCGAACCGACUAAUGUUGAAAAAUUAGCGGAUGACUUGUGGCUGGGGGUGAAAGGCCAAUCAAACCGGGAGAUAGCUGGUUCUCCCCGAAAGCUAUUUAGGUAGCGCCUCGUGAAUUCAUCUCCGGGGGUAGAGCACUGUUUCGGCAAGGGGGUCAUCCCGACUUACCAACCCGAUGCAAACUGCGAAUACCGGAGAAUGUUAUCACGGGAGACACACGGCGGGUGCUAACGUCCGUCGUGAAGAGGGAAACAACCCAGACCGCCAGCUAAGGUCCCAAAGUCAUGGUUAAGUGGGAAACGAUGUGGGAAGGCCCAGACAGCCAGGAUGUUGGCUUAGAAGCAGCCAUCAUUUAAAGAAAGCGUAAUAGCUCACUGGUCGAGUCGGCCUGCGCGGAAGAUGUAACGGGGCUAAACCAUGCACCGAAGCUGCGGCAGCGACACUAUGUGUUGUUGGGUAGGGGAGCGUUCUGUAAGCCUGUGAAGGUGUGCUGUGAGGCAUGCUGGAGGUAUCAGAAGUGCGAAUGCUGACAUAAGUAACGAUAAAGCGGGUGAAAAGCCCGCUCGCCGGAAGACCAAGGGUUCCUGUCCAACGUUAAUCGGGGCAGGGUGAGUCGACCCCUAAGGCGAGGCCGAAAGGCGUAGUCGAUGGGAAACAGGUUAAUAUUCCUGUACUUGGUGUUACUGCGAAGGGGGGACGGAGAAGGCUAUGUUGGCCGGGCGACGGUUGUCCCGGUUUAAGCGUGUAGGCUGGUUUUCCAGGCAAAUCCGGAAAAUCAAGGCUGAGGCGUGAUGACGAGGCACUACGGUGCUGAAGCAACAAAUGCCCUGCUUCCAGGAAAAGCCUCUAAGCAUCAGGUAACAUCAAAUCGUACCCCAAACCGACACAGGUGGUCAGGUAGAGAAUACCAAGGCGCUUGAGAGAACUCGGGUGAAGGAACUAGGCAAAAUGGUGCCGUAACUUCGGGAGAAGGCACGCUGAUAUGUAGGUGAAGCGACUUGCUCGUGGAGCUGAAAUCAGUCGAAGAUACCAGCUGGCUGCAACUGUUUAUUAAAAACACAGCACUGUGCAAACACGAAAGUGGACGUAUACGGUGUGACGCCUGCCCGGUGCCGGAAGGUUAAUUGAUGGGGUUAGCGGUAACGCGAAGCUCUUGAUCGAAGCCCCGGUAAACGGCGGCCGUAACUAUAACGGUCCUAAGGUAGCGAAAUUCCUUGUCGGGUAAGUUCCGACCUGCACGAAUGGCGUAAUGAUGGCCAGGCUGUCUCCACCCGAGACUCAGUGAAAUUGAACUCGCUGUGAAGAUGCAGUGUACCCGCGGCAAGACGGAAAGACCCCGUGAACCUUUACUAUAGCUUGACACUGAACAUUGAGCCUUGAUGUGUAGGAUAGGUGGGAGGCUUGGAAGUGUGGACGCCAGUCUGCAUGGAGCCGACCUUGAAAUACCACCCUUUAAUGUUUGAUGUUCUAACGUUGACCCGUAAUCCGGGUUGCGGACAGUGUCUGGUGGGUAGUUUGACUGGGGCGGUCUCCUCCUAAAGAGUAACGGAGGAGCACGAAGGUUGGCUAAUCCUGGUCGGACAUCAGGAGGUUAGUGCAAUGGCAUAAGCCAGCUUGACUGCGAGCGUGACGGCGCGAGCAGGUGCGAAAGCAGGUCAUAGUGAUCCGGUGGUUCUGAAUGGAAGGGCCAUCGCUCAACGGAUAAAAGGUACUCCGGGGAUAACAGGCUGAUACCGCCCAAGAGUUCAUAUCGACGGCGGUGUUUGGCACCUCGAUGUCGGCUCAUCACAUCCUGGGGCUGAAGUAGGUCCCAAGGGUAUGGCUGUUCGCCAUUUAAAGUGGUACGCGAGCUGGGUUUAGAACGUCGUGAGACAGUUCGGUCCCUAUCUGCCGUGGGCGCUGGAGAACUGAGGGGGGCUGCUCCUAGUACGAGAGGACCGGAGUGGACGCAUCACUGGUGUUCGGGUUGUCAUGCCAAUGGCACUGCCCGGUAGCUAAAUGCGGAAGAGAUAAGUGCUGAAAGCAUCUAAGCACGAAACUUGCC
This 2478-nucleotide ribosomal RNA is filed under the name Escherichia coli. RNAcentral describes it as "partial 23S ribosomal RNA". It matches the Rfam family "Bacterial large subunit ribosomal RNA", at positions 333 to 2798 of the family's 2925-position model. The record is from RNAcentral. Lineage: Bacteria; Pseudomonadati; Pseudomonadota; Gammaproteobacteria; Enterobacterales; Enterobacteriaceae.